Molecule: RNA transcript, 6010 nt
Organism: Onychostoma macrolepis
Lineage: Eukaryota; Metazoa; Chordata; Actinopteri; Cypriniformes; Cyprinidae
Gene name: protein SOGA1
Exons: 11
Source: RefSeq, a predicted model, not a curated record
UAACGGCUUUACCUUAACUUUACCUCAUCUCACAUAAACUCUUGAGAGGAUUCUGCUGGAAUCAUUCAUCUCAUUACUGGCUAUUAAUCGUCUUUGUUUGUAAAACAAUGCAAGUAAAUGAGAGGAAGUUAUCAUCUUUGAACGCCAACACGAUGACAAAGACAAAAGUUGAGGCAAAUCCUGAGUCUAAUGCACGCUCAUCCCAUCACGCACGGGACGGGCAGGAUAAAGCCUGCGGAGACGCGAGCAGCCAGCAACCGUCAAGACAAAUCCACCGGCAUCAGACGUCAAAACAACCCCAGGCGAACACUUGGUCUAAAAUCAUCCCGGCAGCCUCACAGAGCAAAACCAACGAGGCUCACUCUAAGAAACCAAAGCGUGGAGCAUCUGUCACGCCAAACAUCCACACAGGCAAAAAGGAGAUGAGACCAGAGUCGAGAAAACGCUCCGAUGGCACUCGCAGUAAAUCGUGCGGGAGGAGAAAGCUGUCGGAUGGCAGCAUCACGUCUGAUGACCUGAGUAAGGACUCUGGCUGUGCUACCGGGAAGCUGUCUUCCACCGACAGCAGCUCUGAGAUCUCGGACGCAUCUGAGGAGCAUAAGCAGUCCACUGAUGCCCAGUGCGGUGAAGUCUGUCACAGAGGUACCAACGAAGAGAUGAUGGACGAUUCAGCUCAGCAGAUAUUAUCAGGACACAGAGAAGAAGAUGGUCUGAUCAAUGCCACCCUGUCUCCAGGGUUUGGCUUCGGAGAGGGAAGCAUCUCUCCUGGAGACCAGAGGUCCUACGUUUCUCUGGACAGUCGCUUGAACUUGAGCGGGUCUGUGGCAUUUUCGGAUCUGACUGGAGACUUUGCUGAUGGGGUGCAUGAGGAUCUGCUGAGGGAGAUUGAUGACCUAAGAUCAGAAAAUGAAUAUUUAAAGGACGAAAUGGAGGAGCUCCGCUCGGAGAUGCUGGAGAUGAGGGACAUGUACAUGGAGGAGGAUGUUUACCAGCUGCAGGAACUCCGACAGCAGCUGGAACAGGCCAACAAGGCCUGUCGCAUCCUCCAGUACCGACUUAGGAAAGCAGAGAGACGCAGCCUGCGUGUAGCCCAGACGGGACAGGUGGACGGAGAGCUUAUCAGGACACUUGAACAUGAUAUUAGGGUGGCAAAAAGCGUGUCCCUUCGCCUACACAGCGAACUUGAGGCCAUUCAAAAGAAAAAUUCACGGCUGGAAUGGGAAAAUGAGGGUUUACGUGAACGGCUGCAGGAUCUGGAGGUGGCAAAGCAGGUCCUGCAGGCUGAGAUGGACAAAUCACAGAAUUCUCUAAAGAGACGAAGUUUGAGAUCAACAUCCAGCAAGAGUGAAAAGAAGCUCUCUCCACAGGAUGACAGUGCUGAUUUGAAAUGCCAGCUCCACUUUGCCAAAGAAGAGUCUGCGCUCAUGUGCAAGAAACUAACAAAGAUGGCCCUGGAGAGCGAGGCGAUGCGGGAGGAGCUCGCCAAAUACCGUCUGCUUUAUGGUGAGGUGGAUGAAACCCAGGCUGCAGCGGGUGCCACUAACUCCGCCCACACCCGAGAAGCAGAGGUCAAAGUUCACUUGCGGCUGGUGGAGGAGGAAGCCACGCUUCUGAGUCGUCGAAUAGUGGAGCUAGAGGUGGAGAACCGUGGGUUGCGAGCAGAGAUGAGUGAACUGCGUGAACGAGGAGGAGGAAGCCUGGAAGAAGAGGAGACGAUGAAGGGGGCCAGUGACGGAUUAGCAGUGCCUCUCCAAACUGGGGUACAGGGGGAGAUGCUUAGAGGUGGAUGUCUGGAUGGGAAAGAGAAGGCAGAUGCAACGACUACCCACAAUAAUGUGCAGGAGAACCAAAUGCAUGUAGAGGAGGAUCAUGUGGAGAAUUCUUCUAUCAGCCACAUGCACAGAGAAGGGCCGAUUGGUGGGGAACAGGAGCUUUCUGCAGAAACUAAAGAGGAGGAUGGACAAGCUCAGUGUAAGUCAGACUGCACAUUUGGUGUGAAAGAUCUAGAGAGUCUUCUUGCCAUCCAUGACCAGGCGCUGCUUGUCAGAUCGACUAUCCAGCUCCUAACAACCCCAGCAAAAAAUGGCCUCUCACCUACAUGUACCCAUAACACUCCUGCUGGUGCUCCCUACUUAGGCAAAACUGCCGUAGAUCCUCAGUGCAAAACACAUCAGUGGCUUUUGGACCCCAUGUUGAGUCCCUUGACCAAUGGAUUAGAGGUGUUACAAGCCCAACUGCAUGCUCUUGUGGAAAAGUUGGAGGUGCUGUCAAACUCCAAUUCAGAGCGCCCUGGGCCUGUUACAGAAAAGAAUAUGUUACAUUUUGGCGAAGAUUUAAGUGAAAUGAAAGAGGACGCGAAUAAUCAAGCAAGUCGAGAACUUCCAUGUGAAGGAAAUGUUGGAAAUCAGUGUAACCAGGACAGCUUAGUGCUGCUCACUCUGCAGCUCCAGUGGUUCACCCAGCAAUGGAGGCAGGGAGAGAGACCCACAGCUGAUGGAAAGAGUCCGUUUGAGAUGUAUUGUCAGAAUGAUCUUCAUCUGCUUAAAGACACAGAGUCAAAAGAAUGCAAGUAUAAUCUUCAACAGAAGUGCAACAGUCAGGUGAGCAGUGCCCUGCUGUCAGACCUCAGGACUGCACUGUCAGAUCUGUUCUCUGAACUUUGGGAGCAGCACAGGGCAGCCCAGUUUGUCAUCCGGCAGUUUGCAAAUGCCAAAGCAGCGUGGGCCGUGGAGUGUGCAGAGCUCAAGAGCCUCAUAAGCAGGCUGGACGGUUCAGCUGGGAAGGCAGGAGUAAAGGGUCCAUCAGACCUGAAUGCGGCUUUGCAGAAGGACCACAUUGAGAAGCUUCAGCACCUGUUAGCAGAGUCCUACACUGCAGUGAUGGACCUGACAAGACAGCUGAAGGUCCGUGAAAGCAGCUGGAGCUCUGAGCGGCAGGAACUGCUAGAACACCUGAACCAUGUGCGUCUAGAGUGCGAAGGGUUGAAGACAGCUAAGCAAAAUAGAGAAAUGCAGUCCCCCAGAUACAAGAUGUUGACCAAAGAAGGUAAAAUGGAAAGGAUGCCUCUCAAAACUGGCAUGGCAAAACCCAACAAGAACUGGAAGUACCUCAGUCGAGAAGCUGCCGUUCUGGACAGAGAAGACCCCUGCAAGACUUGGGACUCUCCUAUCAUGCCUCCCAGUUUCCCUGGUCUGAACCUUAACCAGGAGCUGACCCAGAGAAGCCACACUGCUCCAGAGAGAACCAGCAUUCGUAUAUAUUUCAGCCCACCAUCAGCAAAAAGGAUCCAAAUGAGCUCUCUGAUAGCAGCAGAGGAGGAAGAGCUUGAGGAGAGCCAGGAACCACAUUUCAAUGCCGUUUCCUGUGGCCUUGUAAACCAAGACUGGGUCGCAGCGUAUGAAAGCUGGCUGGGUAGCCUGCCGUUUGACUGCCAAAGUUUGAUGGAGAGAGAUUCGAGUGCUGUCAUCAGUUCUACAUCCUCUUCUGGUCUUCAGACCUCCAGUAUGGCGUCCCCUUCAUGCUUGGCCUUUAAUAACUUGGACGUCUCAGCCAACCUGAGUGAUGACAUGAAGGAAAUUACAGCCAGUGUGCUGCAAACCUCCCAAUCCAGCCCUUUGGAGAGGAAAAGAGCAAAGGAUUUUGGGAGCAGUAUGGUGAGUGUUGUGAGUAUAGGAACGCAAACUCAAUCCCAACCACAGGUCACCACAGUUGGGCUACAAACCGAUGGUCCUCGAUGUCUUUAUGCUGCAAAGCACUGGUCUCCCCGAGUGACCUCAUUUGUAUCUUCAAGAACCCCGCAGACGUCAGUGUCACUGGAAAGGGUCCCUGGUUCAGCAGAUCGGUUUCAACCACAGACCACCUCGCCGAAAAUUCAACGCAGACACUCUGCAUCCUCUCCGUUUUCCUCCAAGUCUUCCUCUUCCACAUCCCCCUCAUCCUCUUCCUCUUUCACCACAUCCUCUUUGUCCUCCUCCUCAUCUCUGAGCGCCUCCUCCAGGCUGGAUUAUGGCGCAAAAGAGCGUGGUUUGUGGGCUCAGCCGCAACGUGCUUCGACACCUAGCAGGCCGAGUUCAGUAUCGGUGCAGGGCAGCGAUAAACAUGGCGGCCGUAAAAAUGUAGGCGUUCACAAAUACGGUCUGGUCCAUGAGUUUCUGCGCAAUGUGUGUGGUCGAGGAGAGAAGACCAACCCGGAGAUGGAGAAAGCGCCAGCAGCUCGUAGGGAUCACAUCGGUCUGGUGGGUUCAAAGAAAUCCGAGCACCCCCCAUCUCGUAUACCAGCGGUGCCACUGGUCAGAAAUGACAGCAUCACCAAGAUCGUGAACCGCAGAUUUAUGAAACAAAGCCAAAAAGAAGAGACGGUGUGUCAGAGCCAGACCCAAACUCAGCGCCAAAUCGACAGGGGUUCAGUCAACAAGAACAAGGGCUUGGAGGUUAGUAGCAAAGUUUAACCCAUUCAGUAACAUGACAAAAAACUAAAUUGAAGGUGUUGAGGGAGUAAUAUUUCAGUGAGACUAAAAUGGUUGCAAAAACAAUAAGUGCGUCAGUAAUUUGAAAUCUAGUCACUCUAAACACUGGGCCUCAUUCAUGAAACACGAGCAGAACGAAUUUUUGUGUAAAUCGUUCGUAAAGCUGUUCUGAUGUAAAUUUUCGGGUUCAUGAAAAUAUUAGUAUUUUCAAAAUGUUAGUUGGUAUGAAAGAAAUCUACACCUGCUCCCUACCAGGUGUAAAUGGUGCGUAAAAGGUUCUGUGUUCUUUUUGGCAAACUGAUGACACUGAAUCUUGAUGCACUUCCAUUUUCCAUUUGCUCAGUAUUUUUUAAUUUAUUUUAAUUGUAUUAAUUAAUUUAUUUUUUUGUAGCUGAGAGUUGAUCAACUGUUUAUCUCUGGUUUAGCUUUGGGUAGAAUGCAGCACUUGUCAUUGUCACUUUGUAGCCAGCCGUCCAAUCAAUGGAGGAGGGGCGGGACAAAUACCACACCAACCAAUCAUCCUACUUGUACAACUACUGAACAACAAUGGAGAAGUUAAUAUUACUGCUUUUUUAUAUUCAGUAAUAUUCUUCAAAAUGAGAUACUAGUAACGUUACUACCGUGGAUAUUCCACUUCAUAGCAACCAAAUCGACAGCUGGAAAAAACUUUUUUUUUUCUCUACAGUCUGUGGGAAAAACGCUGUGCCACCAAAGCGUUUAAGCGCCACCAGCUGGCUGUUUUCAGAAGAGCUCCUGUCAUUUUUCAGGUGGCUAAAAACACUUUGGUGGACACACGUUAUUGAAUAUUUAUUAUUAGGCAUAUGGCCUAUUAGUCUUUUUUGUAUUUAUGCAAUAUACUGGAGCCAAACUUGAGAAAGUAGACCAGAAUAUUCCACUGCGUUCCUGGACACGAAAUUUGCGUAGCUGUAGUCAUAGGCGGGGAUUAAGCUAAUUUGAAUGAGCGUGCAAGAGCGCCCUAUUUACUAAUGAUGGAAUUCAUUAACAUACGCAUGUUUAACUAUCAAUUACGAAGCGUUUGUGAAUCCGGAGGAGAGUUUUCGGGAAGGGCCGUUUUGCGCACAAAUUACUCAGAAUUUACUCCUAUAUUUACGAAUGUUUCAUGAAUGAGGUACACUGUGUUCAUGGCUGCAUCCGAAAACUGAAAAAUGCUGCCUUCGGAGGACGCAUUCCAAGGUAGUAAGGCAUCAAGGCACGUCCGAAUCCAAAGUUAGCUUCACUUCCUGUCUCCUGAGAUGCCUUCAUCUGAUCGAUUUUUGAAGGCAGCAUAGAUAGAUGUAUCCUGCCUUUGAUAUCCCACAAUCCUGUGCGUUCCAUUCCGAGACGGUCGAGCUAAAAAAUAAAGAUGGCGGCUGGAAGUUGCGUUUGGUGGUUAUUUUGUGUGUAAAUGAUGGAGCCUGUGACUGCAGCUCACGCUCUUUGACAUCCUGCUUUGCUCGACCCUCACAAAAAAACCUCCGGCACGUUCACAGUCAAAACAAGCCCCGUCCUCACGAACACCCCCCAUCCCGUGGUAAAGGUGAUUC